Molecule: small RNA, 1042 nt
Filed under: Rattus norvegicus (Norway rat)
Lineage: Eukaryota; Metazoa; Chordata; Mammalia; Rodentia; Muridae
Description: uncharacterized LOC102554403
Source: RNAcentral
UGUUCCCUGUGAGCCCUAUGUCUUCCUGGAAGUCUUUAAAGCCAGUCAGCACCAGUGCUGAUUUGAUUCCAGUGCUGAACUCCAUUUGGCUACAAGGAUGCUAGGAGGCCAGCCUGGGACUCCUGCCUCAGCCUCCUGAGUGUACCUAGGGCUAUAAGGAGGGUGUGGGGAGUUUAGAGAGGAAAGCCCCUGCUUCUGUGGAUACCAAAAAAAGAAAAAAGAAACACUGUGAGGAAGUGGGAACUGUCUGGAGUACCUAGCAGGCAAGCAGGAAGUAGGGACAGAAGCUACUCCGACUUCAGGAAGUAGCAGUCAUCAAAGGAAUGCGCCUGAUAAUCUGCACUCAUCGAAGGCUGGUGUCAGCGAGUCCAGAAGGCUGGCAGUUCAGUCGGUGCACGUCAGAUGCUGCUGCAGGGUCUGUGUGAUUUGGCUGGCUGUUUGAAGCGUGUAUCGUGGUUUCUGUUGGAAAGCGAGUUAUCCUCAGAAAGUCCACAUGGAGCCGGGAGAUAAAACACAAAACAGCCCAGGGCUACAAGUCCCCGGUGAGUGCACAGGUCUAAGGAGCGGCCUCCAGCUGCUCUGCGAACUUCCCUAACAGAUUUCAGCCACCCAGAGAGCACCAAGGUGAGGACGAUGGGAGAAGACCACGUGGCAAGAAGACUCAAGGGGCCUCCACCUGACAACCCAUUGGCAGCUGUCACUAGGCACGAGACCCCUCCCCAGUCGAACUUCGGAUGGGACUUUAAUUCUACCCAAAACUGGAUUUAAGGCCUGCCAGGAGGUGCUGACUCGUGUUGUUUCAAGGCCCUAAAUGGGUGGUCAUUUGUUAUGUGGCAAAACAUCUUUAAUACAGCGGAGUAUCGAGUACCUAAGAUGCCUGACGUCCUGUAAGCACGAGGAUUAGCUCCGUGUGCUUCCAGCCCUAUGCUACUCACACAAAUCUGAGCAAGUGUAGCUACUGUUACAUGCUGGAUUGCAGGUCAUUGUCUUUCUAACUCCAGGCUACUCGUCCAACUUUAAAUCCUUAUUUUAUUAGAGCUCA